Molecule: long non-coding RNA, 4259 nt
Organism: Centrocercus urophasianus (Greater sage-grouse)
Lineage: Eukaryota; Metazoa; Chordata; Aves; Galliformes; Phasianidae
Exons: 7
Source: RefSeq, a predicted model, not a curated record
UAGCAUCUCUCUAUCAUGCCAGUCUUUUUGUUGUCGCACCUUUGUUGUAAUGCCUUUCCCAUUGUAUUGAUCUAACUGCUACAGGCUGCUAUUAAGGAUUGAUCUAACCAGAGCAAAGACUUAAGGUCCAUUUAAUCUUAAUGGGGAGUGCGAGGACCAGGCCACAAGACUUCAUGAAUUGAAAAUGCUUGGAAGUUCUGUACUGCUUUUUGCCAAAAGUUGGGUGAAAGUGGUGUAUCCUGAAGAGUUGCAUUGGGCUAACUGAAUGAGGUUUUCAUGACUGUUCUGUUGCUGUAACCACCAUGGAUGUGAAUGCUGUGGUGAUAAAGGCUUGCCGUUUUCUCAUUCUGGAUUCCUCAAAUCCAAGAGCUACUCAGCAGUUUCCAAGGCAACCACCUGUGGAAUAAUUAAAAAGGAUGAAGUGUUGGUGUGCCAGAUGCACGAAAUUCUUGCCUGGAGAGAGCACUUCGUUUUCAGCUGUUUUGAAUGUGAUUCUGCCAGCACAGUUCAGAGGAAGAAAUGAUGGCAGAGUUGUCAUACAAGCAUCCAGGGACAAUUCAAAAAGUGCUGAUCUUCUGUGAGUGCCUUCCCAGUGCCAAAGAAAGAACAUGUUUUUGAUGGAAAGCCUACUUUUAAAUGAGUACAAACAGAAAGUGUCACUCCACAUGGGAGGGGUCAGGAAUACUUGAAUCUUCAGCUAGAAGAUCUUCUGCAGCCUGUUUAUCAGAUUGAGGACAACCCUUUCUCAUUCAUAAUGGAUUGUUCAGAAAAAAAAGACAAUUGGACGUGGUAGAAGCUGUUUUUUUCCUAAGCGUGGCCCAAGGACAGCUGCAUCAGUACAACUGGAGGUGAUAUGAACUGCAGCAUCAGAGGCACAGCAAGCACUGGAGGAUGUCCCAAUGUUAAGUGGUCUUGCUGUCAGCAAAAACCUGCUCUGGUACUGUAUCCCAGUUGGACGGGUUUCACUGGAUGUAGAAAUAUUUAUUGAACUGUUCAUUUGUUUGUUUGUUUUUAAGGAUUAAUAUCUUGGGGUUUUGUGUUGUUUGGAUUUUUUUUUUUUUUUGCUUGAGAUAAACCAUCUAUCUGAGAAAUAAGUCAGCUUUGUGGACAGCCAGUGGAUGUCAAUAAAGUCUUGGCAAACACAGUAGGUAUUUAUUCAGCCUUGCAAAUUAGAAACAUUUCUCCUGCUUGUUUUAUGAAGGGAACAAAAAAAGAUGAAUUACAUAGCGGAUGAGCUCUCUUGAUAGUUGGAAUUCGUUUGUCUGGUGGUGAAAACGCUGGGGGAUUUAUGGUGCAGAAAAAUAAAAGAUGAAACAGCUUUUCACCAAUAGCAGUGCUUUAAGUUCUCAUUGAAAAUUACUGGGGAAAAAACCCUUUAAAGACAUCUGUAGCUGACUUCACAGUCUCAAUUACUGUCUUGGUAGGCAGUUCUUCCCUUCCUCACUGCAGUAAGUAUUAAUUGUUUUUUCAGCUGGCAAACAAUUCCUUUAUGGUUCCUUGGUCUUAUUGCCGUGGGGUAUCUGCAGCAACUCAUAAGUGAGAUACAUGGCCAAGUGUUGAGUAGGAAAUUCACACUCCUGCUUCCCAUGCUAUAGCCGCUCUGUUAACAGAGGCUUUCUGCAAAGUUAUCAAUCUGUCAUCUUCUCUUGGCUUCACAUUUUAUUAAAAAAAGGAAUUUGAAAAGUUACAGUAAGUUGAGCAAUUUGUCAGACGUAACUAACUUGAAGGCUAUUGUCUCCAAAUUACAGGCUGACUCGGUCUUGCAGCCUGUCGUGGAUGGAUCAUAAAAUUGUCAUAGAUAAAAGCUUUAACAAAAUCUGCUUAGGCAGCUCCUGUGAUGGCAGAACAUGGAAAGGAAGCAAUACACUGAAAGACCUGGUAAGCCUUUGGCUGCAGCUAAACCACUCGUAAGUCACUAGAAUUAUUCAGCAGCAAAACAAAACCAGAGAAAACUCCAAACUUGCAGUGGUUUAAUCUCUGACGUAGCUUCACUCGUGUAAGUAAUCUCACUGAUGUCAGAUAAGGCCUUGUGAAUUCUGUAAUACUGAAGAUCAAACUGCUGAUGCUUUAUUUCCUUUGAACGGGUACAGAAUAGUGUUUAUUUGUAACUACAGAAACAAUGAAACAAGAAGCUUGUCCAUUUCCAGUUUUUAUGUAAGUCUGUUAACUGAGCUGAGUUUGCUCUCUAUGUUUCCCAAGUUCCUGCUUUUCUACUAAGUAGAAUCAUCAGCAUGAAGGUGUUGUCUCCUCUGCUCCUCUUCUUCCUCUCCAGUUAAACAAAGAAAUUAUUGCUAGCAAAUGUGGAAGGGACAGAGAGGUCCAAGAUCCAAAGGUUCAUUAAAAAUGUGCAGGGUCUGAUAGUUGAAGGAGCUAAUUAGGAGGCGUCUUGGAGAAGUAGCUUAGUUCUCUAUCUGUAGUUCAUUUGUUCUUCCAGUUUAGAAGAACAGUUUACAGCCCUAAUGCAGGAGUGCUUCUCGCUGUCUGUGCUCUGGAACUGCACAUUGUUCUUACGUUUUUUGAAAGACACUUUCUUCAAAAGUACAGAUGUGUUCAGUGGAAGAGUCUGUCCUUUGGUUAGUCAUACUGAGACAUUGUGGUCUGCACCCGUUGUAGGAGUAGCAAUAAAUGCACAUACACACAUGCUGAACCUCAGCUGCAAAUCCAUUGUACAUGGCACGUGUAACUGUGCAUGGACACACACUGCAACAGUUCAGCCUUGCCUCUGACCAGGGAAGAUAACAGUUGUGAAGCCUUACUGCCUCCUUGUCUCACAGAUUGAUGCCAAAUUUGUUGGAUUUUCUCUUGAAGAUUUUCUGGGAGGGGAGUGCUUAAGCUGUCCUGCCAACAGAUAUUCCCUGGGAACUGCCUAUGCUCAUUUCAGAUUUCUCUCUUCCAUCUUCAGCCAUGUAGAAGCUCAGUUUCUAGGCUCAGCUAGUUGUUUAGCUUGUCGCUGUGGUAAAUGAAGAGUUACACACCUCUGGAGGUAAUUAACACAUGGAAAUAGAUGUAAUUAAUUACAUUUCUGACAUGAUUUCCUGCUGCCUGAAGAGAACAAUUUUAACACUACUUGGCUGUCCUCAGGAGACUGCGGAUGGGUUCAUCUCGGGUGAUGUUUGUAAUCAGCUGAAGUCAGCUUGCACAGAGCUGCCAGCAGCAGGCACAGAAUGUGCAGGUAUGACACUGCAGAAGGGAACAAGUACAGCCCUUAACUUCUUGAAUUAUACUGCAGCAGGGCAAAGUUUGAGGCUUUUUCAUGCCUUGAGGAAAUUGUCCACAGUGUUAAAGCAUCAGCAUUUCCUGCGCCCGCCAGAACAGUGUUGUUUUACAGCCACACAGGGCACAGCGGUUGCCUUCUGUCAUCAGAACACGCUGUGCUGUUGUGCUGCUGCUGCUUCGGGUAAUUUGUUCUCGCUGAAGCUCUGUGAUGUGCUUAUGGAGUGCUUCGCAGAAUGUCACCGUGAGCGUGGCUGUGCCUCAUCUGUGCAAACACUGGGAGUUGUUUGACUUGAUUUCGUAGACUCGACUUGGGUAUGUUUGUUCUGCCAGCUGAAAUGAGACAUUGAAGACAGGUUAUAAAAAAUACAUCUGUUUGAAAAGAUUAAAUGGUUUAAAACACACUUGAGUAAUAGAGUUCCAAGAAAAAUCCUUGUGUCAGACUUCCUAGAAAUUGUGGUGGAACCAGGUGGUAAGUGCCAGCACUGAGCAGUUAAUUAAUGCAGCCCUCACAUUAGGUUUGGGCACACACCUCUAGCGUUACAAAUACCCACAAACGGUGGACCGGUCCAUCUUUGGGACGAGUCAGCAUGCAGGGACUGAUACAUAGACUGUUUCACACGCUGUUAUUUCUGCUACUGCUGCUAAAAAUAAUGUGUUUCAGCACUGAGCAGGAGGCAUUUCGCAUGGUGUUUUGCUGUCACUAGAGGGAGUUUGCAGCAGUGCUUCUCUUACUGACGUCCUCGGUGAUCUCGGUGCUGUGGGGAGACCUCGGCAGACACUGUGCCAGGACGACGGCAGUUCUGAAAGUAGGAUGAGGGUCCUUCUUCCUUCGGUACGCCCUGGUACGUGUUGUAAUCUGGAUUAACAACAUUCUUCAGGGUAAUAGUGCUGUAAGCAGUUCUGUUUCUGUUGGUAGCGCUGUAAUAGAAAACAAAUGAGCAUUCGGUGACUCAAAGCAGAAUCAGGAAGUAAGAAAAAAGCAUUGAUUAUUUAAUAGGAAAAAACAAAGAUGGAAAAAACCACCAUGGAUAGAUACUCUUCUG